RNAcentral lists this ribosomal RNA (503 nucleotides) under uncultured bacterium. RNAcentral describes it as "partial 16S ribosomal RNA". It matches the Rfam family "Bacterial small subunit ribosomal RNA", at positions 30 to 523 of the family's 1533-position model. The record is from RNAcentral.
AUUGAACGCUGGCGGCAGGCUUAACACAUGCAAGUCGAGCGGGGUGAUGGUGCUUGCACUAUCACUUAGCGGCGGACGGGUGAGUAAUGCUUAGGAAUCUGCCUAUUAGUGGGGGACAACAUCUCGAAAGGGAUGCUAAUACCGCAUACGUCCUACGGGAGAAAGCAGGGGAUCACUUGUGACCUUGCGCUAAUAGAUGAGCCUAAGUCGGAUUAGCUAGUUGGUGGGGUAGAGGCCUACCAAGGCGACGAUCUGUAGCGGGUCUGAGAGGAUGAGCCGCCACACUGGGACUGGGACCCGGCCCAGACUCCUACGGGAGGCAGCAGUGGGGAAUAUUGGACAAUGGGGGGAACCCUGAUCCAGCCAUGCCGCGUGUGUGAAGAAGGCCUUAUGGUUGUAAAGCACUUUAAGCGAGGAGGAGGCUCUUUUGGUUAAUACCCAAGAUGAGUGGACGUUACUCGCAGAAUAAGCACCGGCUAACUCUGUGCCAGCAGCCGCCGUAA